Quercus robur (English oak) is the source of this 1551-nucleotide long non-coding RNA. RefSeq lists it as uncharacterized. The transcript has 2 exons. The record is from RefSeq and is a predicted model, not a curated record. Lineage: Eukaryota; Viridiplantae; Streptophyta; Magnoliopsida; Fagales; Fagaceae.
CGAUUAAGCAGGUAAUAUAUAAAAGCAAGAAUACACCGACAAACGAUUUAGUGUUCUCUCUCUUGCGUCUUCUCUCUCGUGUCUUCUCUCUCAAAUUGAAAACCUAGUGGGUGUUCCUUCUUUUACUUCAAAAUCCUAAACGAUGCAUCUCUGCAAUGCUUGGCUUCCACCACCGAUGGCCCAAGAGAGAGAACAACUCAUUCUCUCGGGUCGUGUGCUUCGUCAAUAACUGCUUCAAACCUGAUGACCUAGAUUUUGUCUACUCUACUCUCAAAUGGAUCUCUAUCAUCAACCUCUGAUAAACGGGUAUGGGGGUCUGCUAGAUGAGAAGAGUAUAGCCUAAUCACAGCAACCGAAGGCCUCAGAAAGAUCACACAUAGUGAUGUACCCCUUUCCUACUAUACAGGACUUUGGUAUGUUGUUUGCUUAUUCUAUAAAGAUUGGAAUAACUUGAGAUUUAGACAAAGGUGAUUAUGCUACAUACCCUUUUGAUAUGCAUGUCUCAAAGAGUAGUUUCAUUAAUUUAAGAUCUACUUUGAUUUUGUGGGCAUCUUGUUCAAUUCUCCAUGUAAAUGUACACUAAUCUUCUAACUUUGGCUUUUCAUUUUAAAAAAGGUAUGCCUGGUAUGACCACCUAUGCUGGAUUCAUGAAGUUUGUUCUCCUUAGAAAGGAGAAUAUGUCUUCAUUUCAGCAGCAUCUGGUGCUGUUGGCCAGCUUGUUGGACAAUUUGCAAAAUUAUUGGGUUGUUACGUAGUUGGGAGUGCUGGAAGUAAAGAAAAGGUAUAUUCUAUUUGGAUAUAUACUUUUUAGUACUCACUGGCCCUUCUUUAUCUACAAGCUGCUCUUUAUCUGAAUUCCACAUUGAUCAAUUCGGACAAGAUGGAAUCUUCCUUCCCCAUAAACCCUACUCAAAAACAGUCCUUUUCUCCUUCCGUGAUUGUGGAGUGGGCUGGUAGGAUGAAUGUACCAUUCACAAAAGAAGUUAAAAAAAAAAACUAUUUUUAAGCAUGAAAUACUCAUCUUUUUUCUGUGAUGAAUUAGGUUGAUCUAUUGAAAAAUAAGUUUGGUUUUGAUGAUGCUUUCAAUUAUGCUGCUUUGAAAAGGUCAUUAUGUCAUAUGCAUAAUAGGAGUUUAAAAUUGUAAUCUGAAGCUUGAAGGACAUACAGGUUCCUUGGCAGAUUAAGUUGUUCCUUUUUAGCAUUGUGUAAUAUUUUAACAAACUGGAAGGGCCAUUACUUGAUAUGACACCACAUUUUUCAGGUGGUCAAUAGUUCUCCGAUUCACUAAUCUUCGAACUUUUUCUCUUUCCUCUUUCAGGUUACCCAAGAGUAUAAUAAUUGAAGAUGGCAUUGAACUCAGGCUUACAUGGAAUGAUGAUAGACCCCAUUUUGUGUCUGUACAUCUAAUGAAGAGGGUCAGAUAAAAUAUUAGUUUGUUGCCUUACUCUUGGAGUUAGAACCUGUUUGUAACCUGCAAAAUGGUUUAUUUGGCAUCAAACUUUCUCUAUGUACAAUUUUAUCUAAAGAAAAAGUGCUUAGUUACUCAUAUUA